RNAcentral lists this transfer RNA (72 nucleotides) under Ovis aries (sheep). It matches the Rfam family "tRNA". From Rfam's summary of the family: Transfer RNA (tRNA) molecules are approximately 80 nucleotides in length. Their secondary structure includes four short double-helical elements and three loops (D, anti-codon, and T loops). The record is from Rfam by way of RNAcentral. Lineage: Eukaryota; Metazoa; Chordata; Mammalia; Artiodactyla; Bovidae.
UCCCUGAUGGCUCAGCUGGUAAAGAAUUCGCCUGCAAUGCAGGAGACCUGGGUUCGAGUCCCAGGUUGGGAA